UUUACUGAGAGUUUGAUCCUGGCUCAGGACGAACGCUGGCGGCGUGCCUAAUACAUGCAAGUCGUGCGGACUUUUUAAAAGCUUGCUUCUAAAAAGUUAGCGGCGGACGGGUGAGUAACACGUGGGCAACCUGCCUGUAAGAUCGGGAUAACGCCGGGAAACCGGGGCUAAUACCGGAUAGUUUUUUCCUCCGCAUGGAGGAAAAAGGAAAGACGGCUUUUGCUGUCACUUACAGAUGGGCCCGCGGCGCAUUAGCUAGUUGGUGGGGUAACGGCUCACCAAGGCCACGAUGCGUAGCCGACCUGAGAGGGUGAUCGGCCACAUUGGGACUGAGACACGGCCCAAACUCCUACGGGAGGCAGCAGUAGGGAAUCUUCCGCAAUGGACGAAAG
This 392-nucleotide ribosomal RNA is filed under the name Heyndrickxia coagulans. RNAcentral describes it as "bacterial SSU rRNA". It matches the Rfam family "Bacterial small subunit ribosomal RNA", at positions 1 to 381 of the family's 1533-position model. The record is from RNAcentral. Lineage: Bacteria; Bacillati; Bacillota; Bacilli; Caryophanales; Bacillaceae.